This 253-nucleotide ribosomal RNA is filed under the name uncultured bacterium. Its description in RNAcentral is "partial 16S ribosomal RNA". It matches the Rfam family "Bacterial small subunit ribosomal RNA", at positions 524 to 776 of the family's 1533-position model. The record is from RNAcentral.
UACGGGGGGGGCAAGCGUUGUUCGGAAUUACUGGGCGUAAAGGGCUCGUAGGCGGCCAACUAAGUCAGACGUGAAAUCCCUCGGCUUAACCGGGGAACUGCGUCUGAUACUGGAUGGCUAGAGUUUGGGAGAGGGAUGCGGAAUUCCAGGUGUAGCGGUGAAAUGCGUAGAUAUCUGGAGGAACACCGGUGGCGAAGGCGGCGUCCUGGACCAACACUGACACUGAGGAGCGAAAGCCAGGGGAGCAAACGGG